GUAAACGCAAUGAACAGGAGUAGUACGUUAAGCUGGGUUCAGAGAGCUGCGGGUCGGUGCAACGCAGUCGAAGGGAUAACGGAAGCUCGCCUGGAAGCGGAAUGGUGGAACUUGGGCUGCGGCUUAGGCAGUACAUCAUUACGGAUAACCUCCGUGAUCGGGUGGCGGCGAAAUGAUUGUCCGGACAUCAUUUUGUUGGCAUGAGGUGGACGUCAGAUUUACGAGUGGCGUCAACAAGAGUGGUACCGCGAUGGACUUUACAGCCUGUCGUCUCUUAU
RNAcentral lists this non-coding RNA (278 nucleotides) under Paenibacillus selenitireducens. RNAcentral describes it as "T-box sequence". It matches the Rfam family "T-box leader". Rfam says of the family: Uncharged tRNA acts as the effector for transcription antitermination of genes in the T-box leader family. T-boxes are found upstream of many aminoacyl-tRNA synthetase genes and some amino acid biosynthetic genes usually in Gram-positive bacteria. The record is from RNAcentral. Lineage: Bacteria; Bacillati; Bacillota; Bacilli; Caryophanales; Paenibacillaceae.